Molecule: ribosomal RNA, 222 nt
Filed under: uncultured bacterium
Lineage: Bacteria
Description: partial 16S ribosomal RNA
Rfam family: Bacterial small subunit ribosomal RNA
Source: RNAcentral
CAACAGUCUCAGUUCAGAUUGUUAGGCUGAAACUCGCCUGUAUGAAGUCGGAAUUGCUAGUAAUCGCGGAUCAGCAUGCCGCGGUGAAUACGUUCCCGGGCCUUGUACACACCGCCCGUCACACCAUGAGAGUCGAUAACACCCGAAGCCUGUAGUCUAACAGCAAUGAGGACGCAGUCGAAGGUGGGAUUGAUAAUUAGGGUGAAGUCGUAACAAGGUAAC